UGCUAUUUUAUUUAUGGUUCUUAUGUUUAGAUAAUUAUUUACGCUAUUUCUAAUGGAGUUACUAAUGAUCUUUUGUUUUUGUUUUUAUUUUUCCUUUCCUUCACUGAGCCGAAGGUCGAUCGGAAACAGCCUCUCUGCCCUUUCGGGUAAAGGUAAGGCUCGUCUACAUAUUACCCUCCCCAGACCCCACUUGUGGUACUAUACUGGAUAGUUAUUGUUGUUGUUAUUAUUAUUUAUUUUUGGAAUAGAUUAAA
RNAcentral lists this long non-coding RNA (254 nucleotides) under Nicotiana benthamiana. Its description in RNAcentral is "long non-coding RNA (NBEN_LNC009260)". The record is from RNAcentral. Lineage: Eukaryota; Viridiplantae; Streptophyta; Magnoliopsida; Solanales; Solanaceae.